UACGGAAGGCAGCAGUGGGGAAUAUUGCACAAUGGGCGAAAGCCUGAUGCAGCUAUGCCGCGUGUAUGAAGAAGGCCUUAGGGUUGUAAAGUACUUUCAUCGGGGAGGAAAAACAAAACUAAUAAUUUUAUUUCUUGACGUUACCCGAAAAAGAAGCACCGGCUAACUCCGUGCCAGCAGCCGCGGUAAUACGGAGGGUGCUAGCGUUAAUCAGAAUUACUGGGCGUAAAGAGCACGUAGGUGGUUUUUUUAAAGUCAGAUGUGAAAUCCCUGGGCUUAACCUAGGAACUGCAUUUUGAAACUGAAAUACUAGAGUAUCGUAGAGGGAGGUAGAAUUCUAGGUGUAGCGGUGAAAUGCGUAGAUAUCUGGAGGAAUACCUGUGGCGAAAGCGGCCUCCUAAACGAAUACUGACACUGAGGGUGCGAAAGCGUGGGGAGCAAACAGGGAUUAGAUAC
RNAcentral lists this ribosomal RNA (456 nucleotides) under uncultured bacterium. RNAcentral's name for it is "bacterial SSU rRNA". It matches the Rfam family "Bacterial small subunit ribosomal RNA", at positions 340 to 785 of the family's 1533-position model. The record is from RNAcentral.